This 253-nucleotide ribosomal RNA is filed under the name uncultured prokaryote. RNAcentral describes it as "partial 16S ribosomal RNA". It matches the Rfam family "Bacterial small subunit ribosomal RNA", at positions 525 to 777 of the family's 1533-position model. The record is from RNAcentral.
ACGUAGGUGGCAAGCGUUACUCGGAAUCACUAGGCGUAAAGCGCAGGUAGGCGGUUUGAUAAGUCUGUUGUGAAAGCUCCCGGCUUAACUGGGAGAGGCCAACGGAAACUAUCAGGCUAGAGUGUGGUAGAGGUAGCUGGAAUUCCCGGUGUAGCGGUGAAAUGCGUAGAUAUCGGGAGGAAUACCUAUGGCGAAAGCAGGCUACUGGACCAUCACUGACGCUGAUCUGCGAAAGCUAGGGGAGCAAACAGGA